UGGCUUCACCCGCAGUGGACGCCUAUUUGCACCAUCAACAUUACGCAUGAAUACUAAAGCUGAGGCAGCUGCCAAGGCUAAAGGAAAACAGAUAGCCACCGAAGAGGUUACUACUAAGGAAGCUCCUCCUAAGACCGCGUUCGAGAAGGAAAUGGAUGAGUUUAUGAGGAUUAUCAAGAAAAGUGACUACAAGGUAGUCGACCAGCUAAAUCAGACACCCUCAAA
This 225-nucleotide long non-coding RNA is filed under the name Lathyrus oleraceus (garden pea). RNAcentral's name for it is "Pisum sativum (pea) long non-coding RNA (PSAT_LNC035414)". Lineage: Eukaryota; Viridiplantae; Streptophyta; Magnoliopsida; Fabales; Fabaceae. The record is from RNAcentral.